Molecule: unclassified non-coding RNA, 376 nt
Filed under: soil metagenome
Description: partial contains 5.8S ribosomal RNA, internal transcribed spacer 2, and large subunit ribosomal RNA
Rfam family: 5.8S ribosomal RNA (bases 1-120)
Source: RNAcentral
GAUGAAGAACGCAGCGAAAUGCGAUAAGUAAUGUGAAUUGCAGAAUUCAGUGAAUCAUCGAAUCUUUGAACGCAUCUUGCGCUCCUUGGUAUUCUGAGGAGCAUGCCUGUUUGAGUGUCAUUAAAUUCUCAACUACACUGACUUUGAAUUGGUGUGGCUUGGAUUUGGGGGGAAAAUUGUUGUGGGCUUUUUCUAUAGUCUGCUCCCCUGAAAUUGAUUAGCGGUACCUUUGUGGAACUGUCUACAGGUGUGAUAAUUAUCUACAUCUUAGACAUCUGCUGGAAUGCUGCUUUCUAAACCUUACUUGUAUUGACAAUCUUGACCUCAAAUCAGGUAGGACUACCCGCUGAACUUAAGCAUAUCAAUAAGCGGAGGA